CCUCUGUUUCCCAAAGUUUGAGACACUUUCAGACACUCUGCUUUGCGGUUGUGGCCGAUGUUACCCAUGGGUGGGACUUUUGCUUUGCUCUAGAUUUUUGUAACACCCUGGGGAGUUUCAGGGGCCAAUGCUGAGAGAAGACCACAGGCUGACACAUCAUGAGACCCUCUGGGCAGGUCCACUAAGAGCAUGUAUUCUAGAACAUGCAGGGCUUGAAGCUUCACAAGAUAUUCAGUGCACUCCUUACAGAUCCUGUCAAAUGUGGACCGGGUGGUGUCAUCGCACCACCAUCAUCCCCUUGUUACCCCUGAGAACACAGCUUCAGAGAGGGGCGGCGCUGGCUUUCAGGCCGUUCAGCAGGGAUGAGUAGAAGGCAUGGAUGAACAUCUUAGAAGCAGCCACUGGCACAGGCCACAGAGACACGAGGACACACUGAGCGCCGGCAGCCAGGAAGGCCCUUGUCAGCGCGAUGACCCCGUCGGCUGUGACUUUGCUGUUGGACUCCUGGG
Molecule: long non-coding RNA, 509 nt
Filed under: Homo sapiens (human)
Lineage: Eukaryota; Metazoa; Chordata; Mammalia; Primates; Hominidae
Description: long non-coding RNA NONHSAT084641
Source: RNAcentral